This 395-nucleotide ribosomal RNA is filed under the name uncultured bacterium. RNAcentral's name for it is "bacterial SSU rRNA". It matches the Rfam family "Bacterial small subunit ribosomal RNA", at positions 30 to 425 of the family's 1533-position model. The record is from RNAcentral.
AUUGAACGCUGGCGGCAUGCCUUACACAUGCAAGUCGAACGGCAGCGCGGGGCAACCUGGCGGCGAGUGGCGAACGGGUGAGUAAUAUAUCGGAACAUACCCUAGAGUGGGGGAUAACGUAGCGAAAGUUACGCUAAUACCGCAUACGCACUAAGGUGGAAAGUGGGGGAUUCGCAAGAACCUCAUGCUCAUGGAGUGGCCGAUAUCUGAUUAGCUAGUUGGUGAGGUAAAGGCUCACCAAGGCGACGAUCAGUAGCUGGUUUGAGAGAACGACCAGCCACACUGGAACUGAGACACGGUCCAGACUCCUACGGAGGCAGCAGUGGGGAAUUUUGGGACAAUGGGGGCAACCCUGAUCCAGCAAUGCCGCGUGAGUGAAGAAGGCCUUCGGGUUG